CGAAUGCUGACAUAAGUAACGAUAAAGCGGGUGAAAAGCCCGCUCGCCGGAAGACCAAGGGUUCCUGUCCAACGUUAAUCGGGGCAGGGUGAGUCGACCCCUAAGGCGAGGCCGAAAGGCGUAGUCGAUGGGAAACAGGUUAAUAUUCCUGUACUUGGUGUUACUGCGAAGGGGGGACGGAGAAGGCUAUGUUGGCCGGGCGACGGUUGUCCCGGUUUAAGCGUGUAGGCUGGUUUUCCAGGCAAAUCCGGAAAAUCAAGGCUGAGGCGUGAUGACGAGGCACUACGGUGCUGAAGCAACAAAUGCCCUGCUUCCAGGAAAAGCCUCUAAGCAUCAGGUAACAUCAAAUCGUACCCCAAACCGACACAGGUGGUCAGGUAGAGAAUACCAAGGCGCUUGAGAGAACUCGGGUGAAGGAACUAGGCAAAAUGGUGCCGUAACUUCGGGAGAAGGCACGCUGAUAUGUAGGUGAAGUCCCUCGCGGAUGGAGCUGAAAUCAGUCGAAGAUACCAGCUGGCUGCAACUGUUUAUUAAAAACACAGCACUGUGCAAACACGAAAGUGGACGUAUACGGUGUGACGCCUGCCCGGUGCCGGAAGGUUAAUUGAUGGGGUUAGCGCAAGCGAAGCUCUUGAUCGAAGCCCCGGUAAACGGCGGCCGUAACUAUAACGGUCCUAAGGUAGCGAAAUUCCUUGUCGGGUAAGUUCCGACCUGCACGAAUGGCGUAAUGAUGGCCAGGCUGUCUCCACCCGAGACUCAGUGAAAUUGAACUCGCUGUGAAGAUGCAGUGUACCCGCGGCAAGACGGAAAGACCCCGUGAACCUUUACUAUAGCUUGACACUGAACAUUGAGCCUUGAUGUGUAGGAUAGGUGGGAGGCUUUGAAGUGUGGACGCCAGUCUGCAUGGAGCCGACCUUGAAAUACCACCCUUUAAUGUUUGAUGUUCUAACGUUGACCCGUGAUCCGGGUUGCGGACAGUGUCUGGUGGGUAGUUUGACUGGGGCGGUCUCCUCCUAAAGAGUAACGGAGGAGCACGAAGGUUGGCUAAUCCUGGUCGGACAUCAGGAGGUUAGUGCAAUGGCAUAAGCCAGCUUGACUGCGAGCGUGACGGCGCGAGCAGGUGCGAAAGCAGGUCAUAGUGAUCCGGUGGUUCUGAAUGGAAGGGCCAUCGCUCAACGGAUAAAAGGUACUCCGGGGAUAACAGGCUGAUACCGCCCAAGAGUUCAUAUCGACGGCGGUGUUUGGCACCUCGAUGUCGGCUCAUCACAUCCUGGGGCUGAAGUAGGUCCCAAGGGUAUGGCUGUUCGCCAUUUAAAGUGGUACGCGAGCUGGGUUUAGAACGUCGUGAGACAGUUCGGUCCCUAUCUGCCGUGGGCGCUGGAGAACUGAGGGGGGCUGCUCCUAGUACGAGAGGACCGGAGUGGACGCAUCACUGGUGUUCGGGUUGUCAUGCCAAUGGCACUGCCCGGUAGCUAAAUGCGGAAGAGAUAAGUGCUGAAAGCAUCUAAGCACGAAACUUGCCCCGAGAUGAGUUCUCCCUGACUCCUUGAGAGUCCUGAAGGAACGUUGAAGACGACGACGUUGAUAGGCCGGGUGUGUAAGCGCAGCGAUGCGUUGAGCUAACCGGUACUAAUGAACCGUGAGGCUUAACCUUACAACGCCGAAGGUGUUU
Molecule: ribosomal RNA, 1672 nt
Filed under: Escherichia coli
Lineage: Bacteria; Pseudomonadati; Pseudomonadota; Gammaproteobacteria; Enterobacterales; Enterobacteriaceae
Description: partial 23S ribosomal RNA
Rfam family: Bacterial large subunit ribosomal RNA
Source: RNAcentral